This 500-nucleotide ribosomal RNA is filed under the name uncultured Chrysophyceae. RNAcentral's name for it is "SSU rRNA". It matches the Rfam family "Eukaryotic small subunit ribosomal RNA", at positions 1269 to 1798 of the family's 1831-position model. The record is from RNAcentral. Lineage: Eukaryota; Chrysophyceae.
UAUGGGUGGUGGUGCAUGGCCGUUCUUAGUUGGUGGAGUGAUUUGUCUGGUUAAUUCCGUUAACGAACGAGACCCCCGCCUGCUAAAUAGUUGUGCGAAUGCUUAGCAUUGGCGUCAGCUUCUUAGAGGGACUUUUGGUGACUAACCAAAGGAAGUUGGGGGCAAUAACAGGUCUGUGAUGCCCUUAGAUGUCCUGGGCCGCACGCGCGCUACACUGACACACGCAACGAGUUCUCCUUGGCCGAAGGGUCCGGGUAAUCUUUUAAAUGUGUGUCGUGAUAGGGAUAGAUUAUUGCAAUUAUUAAUCUUGAACGAGGAAUUCCUAGUAAAUGCAAGUCAUCAGCUUGCGUUGAUUACGUCCCUGCCCUUUGUACACACCGCCCGUCGCACCUACCGAUUGAAUGAUUCGGUGAAAAUCUCGGACCGCGACAUCGCCGCCUCGGUGGCUUUGCUGUGGAAAGUUAUUAAACCUCAUCAUUAGAGAAGAGAAGUCGAGCACC